RNAcentral lists this ribosomal RNA (750 nucleotides) under Triticum aestivum (bread wheat). RNAcentral describes it as "partial small subunit ribosomal RNA". The record is from RNAcentral. Lineage: Eukaryota; Viridiplantae; Streptophyta; Magnoliopsida; Poales; Poaceae.
AUGGCGACGGUGACCACCGGCCUCGUGGCCGCGGCGUCGCUCCUCCUGCUGCUCGCGGGAGGCGCGUCGGCGGCGACGCUGGCGCUGUACAACAAGUGCGGCGAGACGGUGUGGCCGGGCAUCCAGCCGGGGGCCGGCAAGGAGAUCCUGGCGCGCGGCGGGCUGCAGCUGCUCCCCAACCGCGCCACCUCCAUCCGCCUCCCGGCCGGCUGGUCGGGCCGCGUGUGGGGCCGGCAGGGGUGCCGCUUCGACGCGGCGGGCCGCGGCAAGUGCGCCACGGGCGACUGCGGCGGCGCCCUCUACUGCAACGGCGCCGGCGGCGAGCCCCCGGCCACGCUGGCCGAGAUCACGCUCGGCGCGUCCGCCUCCGCGCUCGACUUCUACGACGUGAGCCUGGUGGACGGCUACAACGUGGCCAUCGACAUGCGGCCCUACCACGGGUCCGGCGCCAACUGCCUCCCCGCCGGCUGCGUCAGCGACCUCAACAGCGUCUGCCCCGCCGGCCUCGCCGUCCGCGGCGGCAACCGGGUCGUGGGGUGCCGCAGCGCAUGCGCCGCGUUCGGGAGCGCCGAGUACUGCUGCACGGGGCAGUUCGGCGGCCCGCAGCAGUGCAAGCCGACGACCUACUCGCGGCUGUUCAAGCGGGCGUGCCCCAAGGCCUACUCCUACGCGUAUGAUGACAAGACCUCCAUCCUCACCUGCGCCGCCGGCACCUCCUACGUCGUCACCUUCUGCCCCCACCGCCGCUAG